Molecule: long non-coding RNA, 1712 nt
Organism: Poecilia latipinna (sailfin molly)
Lineage: Eukaryota; Metazoa; Chordata; Actinopteri; Cyprinodontiformes; Poeciliidae
Exons: 4
Source: RefSeq, a predicted model, not a curated record
AUUUUUACUUUUUCAUUAAUAUUAAGGUAUUAUUGACUAAAACAAGCUCCUAUAUACUGCUGAAAGGUUACUUGCAAGCUCAUUUUGUCUCAUUUCAAGUGUAUUAACAUAUUUGCACGGGAAACUAGACCAAAAACACACAAAAAACAUUUUACAUUUUCAGUAUCAUACGAUUCAAACUAAUUAAAAAAACGUUUCCCCUCCUCACCUUUGGUGGCGCUGCAGUAAGAACUACUGAAGGAGCGACAUAAAAACCUCAGAAGAAGAGACUGAGCACAACUUCCUUCCCAAAAUGUAAAUAAAAACGGAGUGGCCUCAGAGUUUAGCGGCUUUAGGGUUCCUCUUUAUUUUUAUUUUUAUUUUUUUAUUUUAUUUUAUUUUAUUUUUUUUGCAAAAGACCGCAAGCCAUUUCUCCCAUUAGCGUUAGACUCUCGCGUCUGUGUUGGUUGUCUUUACCCAGAAUGCCCUGCGUUGUAGUUUGCUUCCUGUUUUUGGAGUGUUCUCCAUCAGCUCGCAUCCACGUGGAGUUAUUAUGGUAUGUUCCAGUUGUACACGGAACUGGGAAAUUACGACUUCUUAGUUAGAAAAAUCAACUAUAAUGCCUAACCGACUCGGAUUUCCGCUGGGAAACUGGGAGCGACUCCAACUACCACCAAUUACAACUUGCCAGGCGGGCUUCACGUUUCGAUACGACGCUCCUCACAUCAAGAGCAGCAACAUGUGGUGGAAACACGUUUCUUUCACAAGACAUGCAAAAAGUACGGCGUGGUACUUCUUCAAACAGAAAUCUGAGAGCUGAACAUCCAGGUCUCGGUUUGGUUAAAUGAACUCUGUUGCUGGUUCAAAUGGAUAUGUGGAUGGAUGAAGACCAGAGAAAGCUCCAAAAGCAGGAAGUGGACUACAGCGCAGGGCAUUCUGGGUUUUUGCUGCAGCGUCACCACAGGCGAGGAGGGGAACAGACGUUUCAGCGUGGAGGCAAAACAAAGCAUCUGAACAUGUAAAACAUGUAAUAAAUGUUGCAGUCUUUAUCACCAAUCAACAGACAAUCAGGUGUGAAAGCACUCAGUCAGCUGGAAAUUUUAACCCUAUUUUCAGUCAGAACUUGUGUCCUACCAGCGCCCCUGCUCAGUGUGUGUUUUCCUUUUUUCUUCAUUUGCUAAAAUAAAGAUAUUCACGCAUGAAGGGCUUUUCUAUGUGUGCGUGUCCAGGGAGGCUAGCUCAUGAUGGUAACAGCUCAGCAGGCAUCAAUCACACUCAGCCUGCUGGCUGGCCGGCUCGCCGCGCCUCUGGGCUCAAGCUGCAGCAAUGCUGCUGACAACAGGUUACAAACCAGCACUCCACUGAUGUCGACUGACACCGACCUCCAUGCAAGGGGAUUUUAUUUUUUUCUUGUCUCUGGGUGCAGGUAGAAGCUUAAAAAAAAAAAAGAAAAUCCAUUAUGAUGCAGUGCUUAUUUUCAGGGUUUUGCUUCACUGAGCCUGCAGCCCGGUUCCCUUUUCUGCCUCCUUUAAUCAUCAAAGCGUUUCCGAUUAAUUUCCAGAUCAAAGUGAGGAUGCUGUGUCCCCGAGGUCAGCUGGUAACUAACGCGACAAAGCCAGAUUCCCCUCCACACUCCCUAUUAAUCAGCCACGAUGGGGGUGAGGGGAGGAACGCUAAAGGAGGGUCCAACGUUAAUGAUCUUUAUUUGCUCCACAUUCAAACACACAGAGAGA